This 70-nucleotide transfer RNA is filed under the name Megophrys shapingensis (Shaping frog). RNAcentral describes it as "Atympanophrys shapingensis (Shaping frog) tRNA-His". It matches the Rfam family "tRNA". From Rfam's summary of the family: Transfer RNA (tRNA) molecules are approximately 80 nucleotides in length. Their secondary structure includes four short double-helical elements and three loops (D, anti-codon, and T loops). Further hydrogen bonds mediate the characteristic L-shaped molecular structure. tRNAs have two regions of fundamental functional importance: the anti-codon, which is responsible for specific mRNA codon recognition, and the 3' end, to which the tRNAs corresponding amino acid is attached (by aminoacyl-tRNA synthetases). tRNAs cope with the degeneracy of the genetic code in two manners: having more than one tRNA (with a specific anti-codon) for a particular amino acid; and 'wobble' base-pairing, i.e. permitting non-standard base-pairing at the 3rd anti-codon position. Lineage: Eukaryota; Metazoa; Chordata; Amphibia; Anura; Megophryidae. The record is from RNAcentral.
GUAAACAUAGUUUAAACAAUAACACUAGAUUGUGAUUCUAGAAAUAGAAGUUAAACUCUUCUUGUUAACC